RNAcentral lists this ribosomal RNA (503 nucleotides) under uncultured bacterium. Its description in RNAcentral is "bacterial SSU rRNA". It matches the Rfam family "Bacterial small subunit ribosomal RNA", at positions 15 to 507 of the family's 1533-position model. The record is from RNAcentral.
GAUCAUGGGCUCAGGAUGAACGCUAGCGGCAGGCCUAAUACAUGCAAGUCGAGCGGCAAGUCGAGGAGUAAUCUAAGACCCUAGGAGCGGCGCACGGGUGCGUAAACGCGUAUGCAACCUACCUUAUACUGGGGGGAUAGCCCUGGGAAACUGGGAGUAAUACCUCAUAGUAUUCAAUAACCGCAUGGUUUAUGGAUUAAAGCUGAGGCGCUUAAAGAUGGUCGUGCGUCUGAUUAGCUAGUUGGUAGGGUAACGGCCUACCAAGGCUACGAUCAGUAGGGGGCGUGAGAGCGUGGCCCCCCCACACGGGUACUGAGACACGGACCCGACUCCUACGGGAGGCAGCAGUAAGGAAUAUUGGGCAAUGGACGGAAGUCUGACCCAGCCAUCCCGCGUGCAGGACGAAUGCCCUAUGGGUUGUAAACUGCUUUUGUUUGGGAAGAAAUGUAUUCUUUUAAGAGUAUUUGACGGUACCAGACGAAUAAGCACCGGCUAACUCCGUG